UAUUUUUUGCAAAACUUCCUCCCAAAAUUUCCCUCUGAAAAUCUCCUCAGAAAAAACCCUACUCCCUGCGAUAACCAUCAAAAGUCGUAACAAUAACAUUCAAGUUCAUUUUCCCCUCCCCAAUUUCUCUAUCUCAUCCAAAUCCCUCCACCCCAACCGUGAACCUCAAGCACCUUAAGGAAUAGCAGCCACCAACAAAGGUUUCUUCUAAUCUCAAGGUUGCACAACUCAUAUGUUGCUCUAUUCGGAAGGAAAGCUAACAAUGCUUAUUGUUUCUUGUUGCCUUCCACACCUCCAUUGUUGAAAUGUACUGAUAGCUAUGCUGGUUGAUUAGCUGAAAAAUAAGGUGGCACACAUGUGAUUGGCAUGUGUUCGUGUGACAUGGAGUCGCAGUGAGAAGGUCUAGUGUGUGGCAUCUUAUGGGAAAUAGCAGUAGUGGAGAGGAAGCUGCUAAAGGGAAGUAGGAGAAAGAGUGGAAUUGGAGGGGAAGCUGUCAAAGGGAAGCAGCAGAAAGAGUGGAAGAAAGAGUUGUGGAAGUGAAGAAAUCUCUUGUUGCUGAACUAGUUGCAUUUUACAUGAAUCCAGACUAAUAGUUUGAUCCAAGCAUUAUUCAAUUAUAGACGUACAAUUAUGUAUAAUUUCAUUCUUGGAAUUAGUUAUAGAGAUCUUCUAUAUACAAAUAGUUUAUUUCGGUUCACAUUCUCUAUGUUGAAUGACAUUUGUAAGUAUAUAAAUUUGAUAUUUGAUUGUUAUGAUUUCUAUAUUUCUAGUAAAUAUCAUUUCAAUA
Non-coding RNA from Nicotiana tabacum (common tobacco), 787 nucleotides. NCBI's taxonomy places the organism in Eukaryota, Viridiplantae, Streptophyta, Magnoliopsida, Solanales, Solanaceae. The record is from RefSeq and is a predicted model, not a curated record.